RNAcentral lists this ribosomal RNA (452 nucleotides) under Myozonariinae sp. TJ-2015. RNAcentral describes it as "partial 16S ribosomal RNA". It matches the Rfam family "Archaeal large subunit ribosomal RNA", at positions 1893 to 2681 of the family's 2987-position model. Lineage: Eukaryota; Metazoa; Platyhelminthes; Dolichomicrostomida; Dolichomacrostomidae. The record is from RNAcentral.
UGUUUAAUAAAAACAUUUCUAUCUUUAUUAAAUGGAUAGUCCCCUCUGCCCCAUGCAUUUGUAAAUGGCCGUUUUUACGCUAAGGUAGCGUAAUUGCUUGCUCUGUAAAUAAGAGAUUGGUCUGAAUGAGGAAACCUAUUAGUUAUUGUUUUAUUAAUGAGUUAUGAAUUUAUAUUUUGUGUAAAAAAGCACAUUUUAUUUAAAAGACGAGAAGACCCUGAAAACUUUCUUAGAAUAUAUUAUUUUAAGUUUAAUGGGGCCUUGAAGAAAAUUUAAUAUAGUUUUUUUAAAUGAUGGUAAUAUAGUUACUUCAGGGGUAACAGGACUAUCCACAUUAGAGUUCGUAUUUAAUUGUGGGCUUGUCACCUCGAUGUUGAAUUAGAAAAAUUUUCUAUGAAGAAGGAGAAAGAAUUUGGCCUGUUCGGCCUAUAAUUUCUACAUGAUUUGAGUUU